UGAGGGAUUGAGGGAAAAAUCAAAAAGCAUACAAGAUUUAUGUAUGUUGCUUGACAAUGAGAAGUCUGAUUUAUUUACUGAGAAAGGAAAUUUAAUUUCUCAGUUGGACGUCACUCAGAAAAGAUUGGAAGAUUUGGAGAAAGUUUACAGAGAUUUAAAAGAGAAAUACUCAGCUUUGGAUAAAGAGAGAGAAUCCACACUUCAUGAAGUAGAAGAAUUACAUGUUCACUUGAAUGCUCAAAAGCAGGAACGUGCUACUCUUGCCCAGUUGAGUGAGUCUCAAUUGGCUGGUAUGGCAACAAGGAUACGUAUGCUACAAGAAGAAGGCCAGUGCAUAAAGAAAGAACAUGAAGAAGAACUGGACAAAGCCUUUUAUGCUCAGACUGAGAUUUUCAUUUUGCAGAAAUGUGUGCAAGAUCUGGAAGAACAUAAAUUUUCCCAUUUCCUUGAGUGUCAAAAAUUCCUGGAGGCGUCUAAACUGUCAGAGAAGCUGAUUUCUGAACUAGAGCUUGAAAAUCUUGAACAACAAGUGGAAAUGAAAUCUUUGUAUGAUAAAAUUGAUGUGCUAAGAGUUGGGCUUUAUCGGGUGCUGAAAACUCUUGAACUUGAUGUGAAACAGGGGUGCGAAGACAAGGCUGAGCAAGAUCAAAUGCUUUUGAGCCAUGCACUUGACAAGCUUCAAGAAACACAAAGAUUUCUCUUUGAGAUGCAAGAUCAAAAUCAACAGUUGGUCGUUGAGAAUACAGUUCUUGUUACUCUGCUUGGGCAACUGCAAAGAGAGGUGGCAAAUCUUAUGACAGCUAAAAGCAGUCUUGAUCAGGAGUUGGCAUGCAGGUCAGAGCAGUUCUUCAUUUUGCAUGGUGAGAGCCAAAAACUUGCAGAGGUUAAUGAAGAAUUGAGAUCGAAGAUAAUAGAGGGAGACCACAAAGAGGAAUCUUUGAAGGUCGAGCUAAAGACUCUGCACGGACAGCUCUUAGAUUUGCAAUCGGAUUACCAGAAUUUACAGAAGGAGAAUUGCAAGAUGGUUGAUGAGCAAAGAUGGCUGAUGAAGUCAAUCACAAACUUGGGAGAAGAGAAAUGUAAUCUAGAAGAUGAGAACUGUGCCAUUUUUGCUGAAACAGUGUCUCUAAGUACCAUUUCUCUGAUUUUCAGGGAUAUAAUCUCUGAAAAAUUUUUGGGAAUGAAGGAGCUUUGUGAAAAUCUGGAUA
This 1208-nucleotide unclassified non-coding RNA is filed under the name Hevea brasiliensis (rubber tree). Lineage: Eukaryota; Viridiplantae; Streptophyta; Magnoliopsida; Malpighiales; Euphorbiaceae. The record is from RNAcentral.